Molecule: ribosomal RNA, 399 nt
Filed under: Triticum aestivum (bread wheat)
Lineage: Eukaryota; Viridiplantae; Streptophyta; Magnoliopsida; Poales; Poaceae
Description: partial small subunit ribosomal RNA
Source: RNAcentral
AUGGCACAUGCCAGUUCAUUAUUUGGGAGCAGUCUGCAGCUCAAGAGAUGCAAAGAGAAGCAAGGAGGAGCUUACCUGGAAGCCCUGUUCCACCAUUUCCGGGUGCCGGAUCGAGUUCCAGGCCCGAUGGGACCUCAGCCUGGGAUCCCAGAGCAUGGUGCUGUUGAACGCGAAGCCCGACAUGGCAACAUGAAAUCUCUGGAGCUUGCUGGCAUCCCCACUUGUGUGCCACCCAACAACUUGGUUCUGCUUGCAUACGGGCCCUUCCAGCACCACGUCGUGACCGCCGUCGGAGAUCGUCGGAACAGGCCAUGUGCCGAACCUCCUAAAUCAAUGACAGGCAGCAGCAAAGUCAAUACCAAGUUGGAGCUUUACACAUCAUCCAAUUUUAUCCAGUGA